GUAGUCCUAGCCCUAAACGAUCAGGACUUGGGGUGCCACCCGUUCGGGUGGCGUCCCGGAGCUAACGCGUUAAGUCCUGCACCUGGGGAGUACGGUCGCAAGACUGAAACUCAAAGGAAUUGACGGGGGCCCGCACAAGCGGUGGAACAUGUGGUUCAAUUCGACGCUACGCGAGGAACCUUACCUGGGCUCGAAAUGCUAGUGACCAGCUUUAGAAAUAUCGCCUUCCCGCAAGGGACACUAGUAUAGGCGCUGCAUGGCUGUCGUCAGCUCGUGCCGUGAGGUGUUGGGUUAAG
RNAcentral lists this ribosomal RNA (296 nucleotides) under uncultured bacterium. RNAcentral describes it as "partial 16S ribosomal RNA". It matches the Rfam family "Bacterial small subunit ribosomal RNA", at positions 790 to 1084 of the family's 1533-position model. The record is from RNAcentral.